CCGGACCUCAAUUCAGGAAAUUGUGUGGUUGAGAGAGCAAAAGCCCGUCUUUUGUCAAGGAAGAUUGCACGAUCUCCAAUAUCUUCCAAUAAUUGAAGCUUGACAAGAUGAUGAUCGUUUAUGAAAUCAAACUUGAAUACAUCAAAACCUAGUGUCUUGUAGGGAAGCGAAUCAGGGUGUAUGUGUGGCACGCAGUGAACAUCCUGCACAAGGCUUGUUAAAACAAAAUGGAUAACAAGAAAAAGCUCUUGGCUUUGGUGGUCAUACACCAAGUAUGACUUAUUCUCCCAAUAAAUCGGUACAAUAGACCUCUUAAACCGACCUACCUUUUUUAGGGGAAAUCUCCUGCUUCCCAGAACCCCUGUCGGAUCCUCAUGAACCUCAUGAAAGUGAAACCUCUUAAUUGGAUCGCUAUGGAGAUCCCAAGCCUCAAGCUCAUCCGUAAUAGAGCUUAGUGUGUAAAAUAGUUUCUUUUCACUGUGGUAAACAAUUUGAUAGCAUUGUUUAAAGGGCGAAUCGAGGAGGAUCCAGCAGGACUUGGGAUGACCAUGUCGUAUUCUGCAGAAGGCGAGUUUAGGAGGAGAGCCAUAAGUGAUCACAGCUAUGCAGUCAUCAUCCAUAGGAGAUGACGAGAGAACAACAUCUUCGAGGAUGCAUUUGGAAAACAUUUGUGGGGACAUGGAGCUUUUUAUAAAGGGAAGGGUUUCAAUGGGUGGAAGAAUGAUUUUUUUGCCAGAGAGUGGGUUAAAUAGAAAAAACUGACAAUCUUUUCGUCGUAUAUAAGCCAUCCAUCCCAGAAACGGUGAUCCCAAGAACUGAGAGUAGGAAUCAGAUGGGUCCUGAGUACUUUCCACAGCCACCACUUUCACAUCAUUUUUGAACAUUCUGUAGAAUUUGUAGACGGAUGUGCUCUCCGGCGGCUGCAGCAUCAACCAAGGAAGUUGCACGCUUCUUCUAGCUAUUUCUUCUGUAUGAGUAGCAGUAGCAAAAGUAGUGCUGCCUCCGUUUGUACGAGAAUGACAUAGGAUCAAUGAAGAGGAGUUCAUUGAGGGACGAAAACCAAUUAAUCUCGCCAAAGAUGAAAUCAUUGGGGGGCGGAAACCAUUAGGUCUCGCCAAAGAUGAAUUCAUUGGGGGCCGAAAACCAUUAGAUGAAUUCUUAGGGGAGCAAACACCAACUGAUCUCGCAGAAGAUUCCUUUGAGGAGCAAAAACCAAUUAAUCGGCUAAAACCGACUGAUCUCGCCAUUGAUGGGAGGGCAAAUACCAUUAGAUCUCAGAAAAGGCGUUAACCAAAGCAGGAUGUAUUUAUAUGGCUGGAAGAGUCCAACACCCCUCUCGAUUUAGGUUUCGGAUUGCCGUCACUGGUUUUUACCAAAAAUAGCUUUGUAAUUUACUUGAAAUAACAAUAUUAAUAUUUUGUUUACCAAAUAUAUAUUUUUCUUUAAAACUAAAACCGCCCUUUCUUUUUUUUUUUUUAAAAAAAAAUAAUAACUAAAACUAAAACUGUUGAAAUAGUUUUUUUUUUUUUUUUUUUAAAUCAACUACAAUGUUAUUUACUUCUAAACUCAAAGACCUAAUAGUUAGGACCAAAUAAGACUCAAAGAGUCUUCACUGCAAUUUCUUUCAAAUGAUGAAAUUUUUUUUUGGAAUACUCUGACGUGAAAUUCAUGUACACUAUAUCUAUAAUUUAUAAUCUAUAUAUAUAUAAUUUAUAAUCUAUAAUGUAUAUGUAAGCCCCGUAAAAUCUUACGUUAAAUUCAGCUUGUUUAGCUUCUUAAAGCUCUUUAAAAGCUUCAACACUUAGAAAAUUUUGCUAAGUGAUCAAGACAUAGUCUUAUUUCAAGUCUCCGAACUUCAGGGAUUUAUUUGACAACUUUUACGACAUCCGUUUUUCGAUUUUCAAGUUGUGUUGCGAUGGAGCAAGGUCAUAGUACAUCCCGGGUAAGUUUUGGAAUUUUUGGAGUAGCAUAAGGGUACGUUUGGUGUGCCAAAACAGUAGCCUUUUGCCCAGUUUUCAGCAUUUCAGGCCACAAUUCAGGGUCAUCUUUCAACUAUCAUAACUUCCUGUAUAUAAUGAACUGGGAGAGAUACUAUAUAUCAAAUGAAAGCUCUUUGAGUCUUUUUUUCCAAUGCAAUUGGUUUCAUCCAAUUUGAACAUCGUAGUAAAAAGUUAUGCCCAAUUUACUUCAGUUUGUUAACAACAUAGGGACAACUGCGACUUUCUCUCUUUCCUUAGGGGUAUUUUAGUCAUUUUUCACCCCUAUAUAUACCAUUAAAUACGGAAUUAAGCCUCAUUUAGAGCAAAAUAUGCUCCUUUUCACCAAUUUCUCUCAAGAACAAGAAGAGGGGUUUCCAAUUGAAGAUCAAAAUCAAGGAAAUUUCACUGUUAAUUUUUACGGAUCUUCCAUCUAAGAUAUGCAUAGUGUUCAUCCAUGGAGCUCAAGAAUCAAGUUUUAAAUCAUGUAUUGUGAAUAUUUUAUUGAGGUAUGAUUAUGUUCAUGUUGAUGGUUGUGGUAUGGUUUCAAGUUGGGAUCUUUAUGUAUUUUCAUGAACCUAUGUUAGCAUGUAAGUUGAAAUCUAUGAAUUAUGUUGUUCAUGUUGUGGAUUGUGGAUAAUCAUGUUGUGGUGUUGAACGAUUCCCAAAGUUGGAAUCUUUAUGUGAUUUUAUGAAGCUAUGGUGACACAUGAGUUGAGAUCCAUGAAUUUUGUUGAUUACGAUGUAUGAAUUGGUGAAUAUAUCUAUGCCAUAAAUUGUGCAUGUAAGGUGUUUGACUAAAUGUUUAAGAGAAACAAGAAACAUGUAUUAUGAAUUAAUAUGGGCCAAAAGAUGAAUUCAUGCUAUUAACCUUAUGCUUGAAUGGUUUCCAUACAAUUGUUGUACAAUGAAUAUGUUGUUGGGAUGCCAUGAUGUUAGAGUAUGAGAUUAUGAUCUUGAUUAUAUGCUUUCCUACCAUGUACAAGAUUAUGAUAUCCAUGUACUUCAUGAAAUUUCCCAAUUAUUGUAUUAUGAAUGGUUGAUAUUGAUCAUGUAUUCAUGAAUGUCAAGAAGUGUCAGUUUCCUUCUUUCGAAUCCUGGGGGUACUUGUACCCGAAAAAUAUAGUUGUGUGCUUAGAGCCAUGUCAUGUUUCCACGAUACUCUCAGUCAAGCCAUGAUCAAUAGAAUUCAGUUAGUCUCAUGACUCAAGAAAACUCAGUAACUUCAGUAGCAGCUUAGUAAUAUCAGAAAUCUCAUGAACUUAGUCAGUUAACAGAUUCAAUAAUAUUUCGUCAGUCUACAAAACUCAGUAAAUCUCAGUUCAAUUCAGUAUGCAGCUCAGACCUCAGUAGUAUUCAGUAUUCAGCUUAGACCUCAGUAGUAUUCAGUAUUCAGCUCAAACCUUAGUAGUACUCAGUAUUCAGCUCAGAUCUCAGUAAUGUCAGUAAACUCAACCAGUUAGCAGAACUCAGUGCUCAGUUUGUUAUAAGAAUUUAAUUGUGUUUCGUCAGUGAUCGAAACUCUGUAAACUCAUUAUCGCAGUUUAGUUUUGUUAAACAGAACAAUCAGUAACAAUUCAGUUAAUCCUAGUAUGAACUAGGAAAUCAGUUUAAUAUAAUCAAUUCAGUGUCAUUCGGUUGGGAGUAAGAUUCAGCACCAAGCGAACCUAUGGAUUUUGCAAUGAGGGCAGGGUGGAUUAGUUCCUCCUUGAUUGUUGUAAUUAUUGUGUUGCAUUUGCUUCUCGUUCUUUUUGUUUCCCUUGUAUGAUUCAUUGUGCGAUUUAGCUUGAAAAACACCCUUAACAGAAUCUUCUUUCCUCAUUAUUCUUCUUUGUUCCAAUGCCUGCAAAGCAUUAACAAGUUCUACCAAGGUAAUGCUUGACAGAUCCUUAGAAUUCUCUAAAGAAGAGAUUGUGGCUUCAUAUUUUGAUACGAGUGUGAUCACGUAGAUGGAAUAUUGUGGGUGUGUAUUGAAGUCUUCCAAGUGUGUGUGCAAGAGAAGUGUAAUUAAGUACCCAAAUACACACCAAAAAUAGCCCACUACAAACACUAAAGGGGCAGCCCACUCUUGAAGGGUCAUUUUAGGUAUUUUACCUUCUAUCUUGUAAUACACUAUAAAUAUAAACUCUUAGGGUUUUUAAUCUUAGUUUUGAUGAAUAUGAAUAUUGUAUAACAUUGAAAGGCAAAGUCCUCUCUCCUUGAGGCACAAAUCUGAAAAUUUGAAACUAGGUAACAACAAAGAGGGUGCAAUCACUUUUGUUGUUUGUUUGCUUGGAAACUUAGGUCUUGAGGUUCAUGAGUUCCUCUUGGUCCAAGUAAGAACUUGAUGUUGCUAUUUAUUAGUCUUAGGGACCUUUCUCAUUGUUAGGGUUCUUAGAUUUGUGAAUAUUGUAUGUCAAGUUACUAUCCUUUAUUUUAAUUUUGUAGUACUUUUUGUAUCUUGUUAUUAUGAAUCCGAAUCUGGUGGGUUUUGUUGUCAUAUUGUUCAUCACGUUUCUGUUGUGUUGUUGGCUAUUUUGGUGUUGAAAACACACCUCUUUAUCUUGUUAUUGUGUGGUGGUAGUGAAUCUGAGAGUGGUCUCCAUCUUGGUCCUCGAAUCCUUAGAUUAGUGGACUGUUUUGGAGUGUUUACGUGUUUUCCUUGUCUUUCCUGUAUCAUUUGGUAUCAAAUUCAUAUUUGAUUUUGUUCUAACAAGAUCAAUCUUGGGCUUGAGACUUGAAAAACACACGCACACACAAAAAAAUAGAAAACUGAAAUUUCUAGAAAAUAGCAAUUUGUCCACUUUGUGUUCUUGGCCGAAAAUUGUGUUAUUGUCGUGUCUUGGCCGAGAUUUUUACUUUUCUUAAGUGUUUCUAGUGUUAGUAUUGUUCUUCACUAACACUUUGAGUCUAUAUCUUGAUUUGAGCCUUUGUUGUUGAUGUUGUUAUUGUGAACUUAGUCUUGGCUGAUUAUUGUUGGUAUUGUUAUUGUGGGUUCAAGACUUGAACGUGUGAUGUAUUGUUGGUUCAAGUUUGAACGUGUAUUGUGGGGAUUGUGUUGUGGAUUUUAAGAUUGAAAAGGUGUUGUGUUGUUUGGGAGUUCCAACUUGAACCUUAGAACUUCAAGACUCAAAGUUUAUGUUCUUGGUGUUCUUCACCAUCUCUAUAUGUUGUUGAAUAAAAAGUGGUUGUUGAUCUUAUAAGUUGAAGAAAGAGAGUGUGAAUUGAUGUUAGUCUUGCAAUAUAAAUCCAAGAUUUAAGGUGUAAGACUUGUGGCUCAAAGACUUUUCCUUCACACUCAUUACAAUCACUUCCAACAACCUUCCAUGUUUUGAGGAUCUUGUUUUAAGGAAAGUGUACAAGAAAGUCAAGUCUUCUCUUUUUGAAAUUGAAAAGGGAUUACAAAACUUAUAUUUCCCUUCUAAAACCAAGUCCACCAUUCUCAACUUACAAAUUGAUCAAGACUUCCAAUUUUGGAAAAUAAAUUGUAGAAACCGCAACCAAUACAUGGCUGCCAUGUCAUUUUUUACUGUUCACCAACAAUUUUUAAGCUCAAAUUUUGAUUUCUUAGUGUCUAAUAUUUGUUUCUUAGUUGUAAUUUGUUGAUUCUAUUACUAAUUAACAAACUAGUAAUUAUCUACUAGGUUGUAAGUUAGUUUUGGGUCCGUCUAUUCGUGUCUACUUUCUUUGUGUGCUUUUCUCUUUUGUAAAUUCAUUGUAUUUGUUGGUUCAAGUCCGAAACAAAUUUUCUUUGAGUCAACUCAAACGAAAAUCUAUUUCGAGCCAAGAUGGACUCAUCCCUCAAUCACUCAUGAAGUACAAGCCGACUUUCAACACUUGUGAAACCAAGUGUGAGGUAAAAUCGAGAGUGAGAGCGUGGUGAGGCUAAUUUAAGAUGACAAGUUGUUUGUUUGUUUAUUUUUUUGUCUUUCUUAGGUCCCAUGGAUGACGGUACUUCCAAGGUUUCCCUUGAAGAUGUCCACCAAAAUCUUGAAAGACUACGUCACAUGCUUGACUCCCCGAAUCCAAAACCAUUAAUCCAACCUCCAUUUGACCAAGGAAUAAUGUCCCGUCUUGAAACUAUCCUCCGUGAUUGUGAAAGACGAGAAAGGGAAUGAAUGCCAUACAAACCACUAUAUCAAAGGCUCCCUUGUGAUGAGAACUUGUCAAAGGUACAAGUGGGCUGCCAUGACACACAUCAAAGUGAAGACCGUAACUCAUGUGAGUUACAAGGUAAAAAUGUUAAUCCGCACACUCUUACAAACUUAGAAUAUUGUGAUGUGGCUAGUAGUAGCCAAAUGGGAGUGGUUUCGGGUUUCCAUAGAGUAGUUGUGCAUGGGUCUUCCUUUUGUGAUACUCUAGGUAUUGUUAGGAUGUAUGACAACCAAUUUCUUGUUGAAAGUAAGUAAGCAAGCACUAGUUGAUCCUUUAGAUGACAAAAUCAAUUCUUCUCGUAAGAAUGAUUUAUGUCCAUCUAGUGCUAGCACUUAUGACUUUAAUAAGGUUCCAUUGCCAUGUAAUAAGAGUAUUCACAUACUAGUUGACCCUUGUGAAAACCAAGGUGAGUCUAAGUUGGUAUGUGAGUUACCAAUAACUAGUGAGGAUGUGAAAAAUGAUCAAUCGGGUGACGAUGACUUUCACAUGCUUGAAUGUCUAGAAAAACCGAUUAGUAUUUGUUCUUAUGAAGUUGGUUUUGAUUGUGAUCCCUUUGCUGUCCAUGAUGGUUUAUGUCUAUUUAGGGACUACUCUCUUGAAAGAGAAAGUGGUGCAUGAGUAAAAAUGAUAUCUACUCCUUCUUCAUGCGUUUCCUAUGUUGAGCUUGCUAAUAACAAUGAACUUGAAAUUAGUAAGUACCUGUAUGAUGACACCAUAGUUGGAGUUGACUCAUGUGACACCAUUCCCUACCCUCUUUGUGCGCAUGAUAUUUUCUAUAGUGAUCUAGAGGGUAUGCCUAAUUUUGAGGGCGGCACCUUAGGAGAAAGUAAGUAUGGCCGAAAACCCUGUCCAUGGCUACUUCGCCCGUUUGAUCACGGUACCAUUUUAGGGUGGGAAAGGAUAACUCUCGGCUUAUUUUUCUUUUGUCUUGAUGCUUGUCCGAGCCACUUCCUUUGUAGCAUUUGUACAAAUAUUUUCAUGAUUAAAACAAAGGACUCGUGGCUGUACUUUAAAUUUGUUCCACCUAGGCAUCGCAUGUUGAUGUGUUAUUUUUUGCUAAUCCUAACCCCUCAUGUCAUGAGGAUGUGUGCUUGUUUGUUUUCUCUUUAUUUUGCAAGGUAUGAAUUUGAGGUUGAAUCCUUUUCAAGAAAGAGAGGAUGAUACGAGUGCGAUCACGUAGAUGGACUCUUGUGGGUGUGUAUUGAAAUCUUCCAAGUGUGUGUGCAAGAGAAGUGUAAUUAAGUGCCCAAAUACACACCAAAAACAGCCCACUACAAACACUAAAGGGGCAGCCCACUCUUAAAGGUUCAUUUUAGGUAUUUUACUUUCUAUCUUGUAAUACACUAUAAAUAUAAACUCUUAGGGUUUUUAAUCUUAGUUUUGAUGAAUAUGAAUAUUGUAUAACAUUGAAAGGCAAAGUCCUCUCUCCUUGAGGCACAAAUCUGAAAAUCUGAAACUAGGUAACAACAAAGAGGGUGGAAUCACUUUUGUUGUUUGUUUGCUUGGAAAACUUAGGUCUUAAGGUUCAUGAGUUCCUCUUGGUCCAAGUAAGAACUUGAUGUUUCUAUUCAUUUGUCUUAGGGUCCUUUCUCAUUGUUAGGGUUCUUAGAUUUGUGAAUAUUGUAUGUCAAGCUACUAUCCUUUAUUUUAAUCUUGUAGUACUUUUUGUAUCUUGUUAUUGUGAAUCCAAAUCUGGUGGGUUUUGUUGCCAUAUUGUUCAUCACGUUUCUGUUGUGUUGUUGGCUAUUUUGGUGUUGAAAACACACCUCUUUAUCUUGUUAUUGUGUGGUGGUAGUGAAUCCGAGAGUGGUCUCCAUCUUGGUCCUCGAAUCCUUAAGAUUAGUGGACUGUUUUGGAGUGUUUUCGUGUUUCCCUUGUCUUUCCCAUAUCAACAUUUCUCAGGAAGUGUGACAAGAAUUUUUUGAACAAUUAUUUCAUCAGUAAAAUCCUUACCAAACAAUUUCACCUUGUUGGCUAAGUCAAGUAGCUGGUCUGCAUAAUCUUUUAUAGUUUCUGAUUCUUUCAUCCUCUUCAUUUCAAAUUUCCGAAUCAGAUUCAUCACUUGCAUAUUCUGAAUUCUUUCAUUUCCUUGGUACUCCUUCUCGAGAUACUUCCAAAUUUCAGCAGCAGACUUCAUUUGCAUAAUUCUGGUAAGAAUUGGAGGAGAUACCACAGAGAAAAGGCAUGCUGUGGCUUUGACUUUCCUUGUCUUUCUCUCCUUAUGAUGUUUCAUCUGAUUCAUCGUUGGAUUAUCUCCAAGAGGAGUUACUUCAUAGUCCUCCUCAGGGGCGGUUCAAGCAUAUUAGUGGCCUAAAGCGAAAGUUAAAUGGGAGGCCUUAAACUCAACAACAACAAAAAUUAUAUACAUUUUUAUUUAAAAUCUAUUUUUCUAGCCUUUUGACAUAUUAAACUCAAACAAAUAGUUUAAACACAAUGUGCUAUCAAAUUUAAAAAUAUCAAAUAUCAAAUAUAAAAUAAUAUAAAAAAUUAGAAUGAUAUUACCCGAUUCAAGAAAUAUGAAGGCUUGAUCGAUGAUCUCAAAUAUCUUUAGCCGCUUCAAAAUGUGUUUUUUAAAUUUGAAACAUGAAUUAUAUUUUCUUCGAAGUGAAAUUAUCAAUAAAAUAAAAAUAUUAUCAACAAUGUUUAAAUUUUGAUGUUAACUUUUUGAAUCUUUGAACUUGGAAAAGGAGAAUAAAGAAGAAUAAAAGAAAGAGAGAAGAGAGAACGUGAGUAAGAGAGAAAAGUAGGCAAAAAAAAGGUAAUUAAAGAUGAAAAGGGAAGGAAACGAUUUUUAUGGAAAAAGUAAAAAUAGAUGUCAAUUGAAUAAUAAAUUACUUAUCUGUUGAUUGUAACAAAAAUCUCUUAUUUUUUAAUUUUUUUUUUCUAAUCCUAUUUUUUAGAAAAAAACCUUUUUAUAAUUUUUUUCUACACUACUAAUAUAAUAAGUGGUAGAAAAUGAGGCCCCCAUAAAUGGAGGCGUUAGGUAACCACCUAAAUUUUUUACAUUACUAGCCGAUCCUAGUCGUGCUCUACUGCUUAGAUUGAGUGCUUUAAGAUGAACUAUCAUUCUAGUUGUCCAAAUUUGAUAAUUCUCACCAUUGAAGACAGGUGGAGUUAGAAAACUUGUUUCAGAAUUUAUUUUCUAUAAAUUAUUUCAGAUAACAGUUUAAAGAAUGAUUAUAUAGAAAAAAUUUGUGUUUUUUUUAAUUUACUCUUUUCUCACAUAUCCUGCAAGAUGACAAUGCUCUUGAUACCAAUCUGUAAAAAGAAAGAACAAAAUUUAAUUUGUAUAACAAAAAAUACAGAACUUGAAUUAAGAAGAGAAAGAGCAAAAAAGCUUUGUUUUGUUUUCAUUUCUUAUUGAAAUGAUUACUGUCACAUUUAUAUAUAAAAUUACUAAAAAAAGACUUAAUUAAAGAAAUAAAAUAAACAAUCAUAUCGCUAAUAUUAUUACCUAAAAAUCAGCAACUAUUAUAAAAUCAAAUUUUACAUAAUUACAAUUUUAUUUAUCUAAACUUAAUCCUACUUUAAAGCAGCAGCUAGUACAACUGCUCUCCAGCUUUUGAGAUAUUAAUUUUAACACAAUUAUAGUCACCACAUCCCUAAAUUUACAGUCUUUCUUGAUUUUAAAAGAACCCCAUUUGAGUUAAAGUUAUAACGAUGGUUGGUUUAGGUGAUUCUUGGUAUUUUUGUAAUGGGGGUUUGCAAGUCUGAAGAAAUCUAAAGUUGCAAUCUUUCUUGAUUUUAAAAGAACCCCAUUUGAGUUAAAUGGUAUUACAAUGGUGGGUUCAGUAGAUUUGUAAUGGGGUGGGCAGUCUGAAGAAAUCUAAAGUUGCAAUCUUUCUUGAUUCUAAAAGAACCCCAUUUGAUAUAAAACUAUAGCAAUGGUGGGUUUGGCUGAUUCUUGGUGUUGUUGUAAUGGGGGUGGCAGUCAAGAGAAACUGAAAGCUACUAGCCUACUACCAUUUUGAGCUAAAGUGCAAUUUCACCUUCAAUUCUUGAUCUAAAAUUUUUACACUCUUACUUGAUUUUAAAGAACCCCAUUUGAGUUAAAGCUUUAACAAUGGUGGGUUUGGUUGAUUCUUGGUGUUUCUGUAAUGGGGGUGGCAAGUCUGAGAAAAUGAAAGCUACCAUUUUUUCAGGCAAAGGUCCUGCUAUGGCUCAUAGAGCUGUGAGUGGCACUGGUUUCUUGAUCCACAGGAAUUUGCUGCUUACUACCCAUGUAGUUCUUCCUUCUGUUGCUGCUGCUGAAGCUGCUGAGAUCCGUCUUCAAAACGGUGUUGCUGCUCGCCUUUUUCCGCAUAGGUUAGUAUUUCCUCUUAUUGACUUUUAUCUUUGCAUUCGGCUUUGCUUUACAGGGUGGAAAUUAAUAUAGAUGGUUGAUUUCAACUUAUUUGGGAUAAAGUUGUAGUUGCUGCUGCUGUUUUAUUGUAAUGUCUCUUUGUUCAGACUCCAAAGGAUGAAAAGAUUUUCCUUUAUGAAGCAAGUGAUAAAUUUCUGAGAUAAGAAAUAUUGGCGAGUUACCAUUAGAGAUUUAAUGGCAAUUAAGAAAACCAGUCCUCUAUUGUGCUUGUCAUAGUCUAUUGAACCCCUAAUUGACUUAGAAUUCUGUUAGUUUGUUGGACUAUUUUUGGUGAAAUGUUUACUCUUUGCGAGUAUGGAUUGAAUCAUUGGCCUUCCAUCAUCAACAUUGAAUGGGGAUCUGUCAGAAUCGUAUUCUCCAUUGGUGGACCUUCUCUUUUUGUGACAUUGACGCCAUUUCAAGCUUCAAUAUGAUAGUCUUUUGAAGCUCUAGAUAAUAUUUAUAUGGAUACAGGAAAGAGUUGUAUUUAGUAGUCAAAACAGAUCUUUCUUAAAACGCCAUUUCUUGUGCACCUUCCUUAUCUACCAGACUACCACGGUACCACCGUAACUGUGUGUUGUGAUAAUUAUUGAAUAGAUUGGAAUAGUCCUGACAGAGAAGCUUGAAAGGUGUAUGGCAGGCUUCAGCUGGAAAAUAUUCUUGUUAAUGAACUUUGUAAUGUCAUUCGCAAGAUUGAUUUUAGUGAAGCGGAUGGUGUUGGCACAAUCCUCAAACUAACCUUUCCACCAGUCUCUCUGUUUUUCACCUCUUACAUGGAAAAUAAUUUUUGAAAUAGGAAGCACAUCAAAGUAGCUUUGGUGGUGGCAGGUGGUCUUGUUGAUCUUGGAUUCGUACAAAAGGAUAGAGCUGCAUGCACAAGUCACGACCAUAUGCACGAUUGAGUAUGAGGUCAAGGAAGAAGCAGCUGCUAAUGUUUCAUUUGUUAGUAUCCAAUCAUUUGUGGCCAUAGUGCCAGUUGUUUCCAUGCGAAGACUGCAAUGUUCUGCCUGAUACUUAUCUCAAUUAAGAUUGUGUAGGGUGUUUAUUUGUUGAAUUGCUUAAAAAUCACACUACUUGCAGAAGCCAGAAGCUUAUAAGUACUUUAACGUAUUGAAUUGAGCUAUAGAAAUCUCUAGAAAGGAAAAAGAGUAACUCGAAAGAUUAGGUAUCUAAGUAUUCAUAUAUGUUUUACUCCCAUGAGUCAUAAGUUUUCCAGUAUUCAUAUAAGUUUGAAAGGUAUCUAAGAAUUCAAUCAUAAGAUUAGGGCCAGAGCUGAUGGAAUGGCCGAAAGAGGGCGGUAUAUAUGGAGGACUCAAUCGUUGACCCCUAACCAGUUUGAGUUGAGGUGUAGUUGAUGAUAACCAAUCACAUAACUGGUUCAGAUUGGAAUCAUUAAUAGUUUACCUAGUGGUUAAAGCAACUUAAGCAUGAUUACUGUGCAUGGAUAUCACAAUUGACCUUCCGAAACAAAAGUAGAGAUAUGUUGCAUAUCAAUUCCUGCAUUUUCCUGAUAUGAUGUAUAUAACAAGAGAGCAGGAGAACGUCGGAUAAGAUGCAACAAGGAUUAGAUCUUGUAAGCUCCCUCCUACAAGUUUUAUCUUUUUCAGAAGAUCAGGCAAGUGUGUGGGCAUUCAAUCUGUGUAAGAACUAGGAAUUUGCAGCUAUAAAAAUCCAUCUCUAGUCUCUGAUGGUAUUUUUGGAUUUAGGUAGAAAUUAAAAUGCAUGCAAUGCGUGUUGGUUUAUAUAUGUCAUUUCCUUCUUGUGUUGGUGCUCAACAGUUCUAAUCACGUUUGAAUUUGUUUGUCAGGUUACAAAAAAGGUUGCCAAUAAAUACUUGUAGGUUACAAAGGGUGCAAUAUUGAUCCAUUAAAUGUCAUUUAGCUAACAUCUUUCUGAUGUUGAGGAAAAAUGGAAUAAAACUUCUCAUGUUUAGCAGGCCAAAUAUUAAUGCGUGAUUACUUGCAUCAGAUUAGCUUUUGGAUUAUGAAGAUGAAGGUUCGAUGCCAGCUUGUGUUGAUCAAAUUGCUCGUUCAGCAUCUGAGUAUUGGUAUAUGUUUUCUUAUGGAUGUAAGUUGUGCUUGGUACACUGCAAUCGUUAUAAAUGGCUCUUGAACAGAAAAACAGAGCUGAUGUCACUGUGGCUAGAGAGAUUGGAGUCUUUAUUUAAACGGAAGGAGGACGGAUAGGAGGCUGGGGAGGAAAGUUAGGAAGGAGAAUAAUAGUUAUUGGUUAAAGAGAACAAUAGUUAUUGGUUAACUGUUCUUACCUGGUUCACCUCAUUAAAGUACAUUCCGCGUUUCUUCUCUAUUGUUUGGUGAGGAGGAACGUUGCUGUUAAGCUCUAGAUCUCCUCAUUUUUGUCGGGUUGGAUACUUAAUUUUGUUUUGCCAUCUGACUAGGGAAUGCUUGUGAAUGUUAUGCAUAAUCUUGUGGAUAUUUGUCUACCUGGUCAAGCAAAUUUUUUUCUUUUUCUUUUUUCAGGCCAUUUCAUUUUUGUGUAUAGCACAUUGUCAUUCACUUCUCAUUUCAGGUUCUUUAUAACCAGCUCCGUACUAGAUCUGACUAUAGUAGGCCUUGACGUCAUGGAUGGAGACACAAAUGCAAAUGUUCAGCAACCUCACUACCUGAAAAAUUGUUCUAAACCUAAUCUUGAGCUGGGUAAUGUUGUCUAUCUGUUAGGUUAUAGCCAAAAAAAGGAGUUGACAGUUGGCGAAGGAAAAGUGGUAACAGCCACUGACAACCUUAUAAAACUGUCAACUGAUGGAAUAACUUGAGAGGCCAGGUUCUGCUGGUUUUGAUGUUCAUGGCAAUCUAGCGUUUAUGGUGUGUGAUCCUAUGAAGCUGGCAAAAUCUCCAAACUCACAAUCCUCAUCAACUUCAACACCAGUUGGGAAGAAUGGGAAUACUCAAAUCCAGCUUUUGGAUAUUAACUUUCCACCAAGGAUCAACAUCAAAGCUGCUGGAUCACCACAGCAUGUCAGAAAGACCCUAUCCAACUCUGAUGAUAAUUGUACCAAUAAAGCGAGAGAAGAAAAUUCUAGUUACAUUGGCCAGAUAAGCGCUGUGCCAGACACUGAAGUUGCCUCUACUGGAUCUGUUAAUGGAGCACAAAGUGAGGUUGAAUCAAGUUGCUGCCUCAUAGAGGUAUUGGAAGCUCAACACGAAUACAGCAGUGAUGGAGAGACAACAAUGUACUCCGCAGAAACUGCUGAGAGCAGAAACUAUCCAAGUCCUAAAGGGGGAAGGUUUCAGCAAGUAGGAAGAAGCCAAAGUUGUGUUAACUACAAUAGAUGGGGCCCGGUUUCAAAAAAUUCAGCAGCUCGUAGGGCAAUGCAAGUACAGAAGAGGAACAAUAUGCAAGGAUGAAAGGUCUACUCCCAAGGGGCAACUUUGCAAAGGAGUAAUGACUAUUACAGCCCGACAGUAUCUUUAAUCAUGAAGAAACGCAACAACUUGGAGCCGCAAAUCAGCCCACCACGUCUAAGUGAAGGAAAUUCAUCACCAAGAUGGAUGUUCUGAUUGAUAAAUUCUGAAAAAAUCAUUCUUUAUAUGACAUUCUCCUUUUUUGGGAUUAUACUUAGACCUCCCUCAUUGCAAAGAAAUUAAAAAGAAAGCUGGAGAAAACUCGAGCAAAGGUACUUCCUGAUUUUCGAUUGUAGGUGCUACAGGUUAUUGGUCUUCCACUGGAACUUCAAUGACAUUCUGUGCACUUUAUGCUGGAGAAAGAUCCUUGAGGCAUCUUCAACAGUCCCAACAUUUUCACCAGUUAAGGUUUGGUUAGUAACUGCUGCUUAUCAUUCUGUUUACGUACAAAGCAAAAUAGAUGAAUGCAACAUAGAAUUCUAGUGUGACGGGAAGUAUCAGAUACCCCAAAGCAAAUGUUCUAUCUUGUAUUCUCUGAGGUAAAUAAUACUCUAGAAAAGUGGCUUGCUUUUUCUGAAGAUUAAAUUGACGACCUCAUUUUGAUGCAGUUCUUUUUUAUGCAGCCCAAUAAAAUUGGCUUCAUUUCCAUUUUCUUGACUCAGUAAGUUGAUUGGUAUGGAAUCAGAAUCAGAAAUAGUGUAUUGUGUCCUCUUUGAAAGGUUAGUAUGCAAGAAAUACUUGACCAAUGCCAUUGAUACAACAACAUACCAGUGUAUUCCCACCUAGUGGGGUCAAUGGAGGAUAAAUGUACACAGUCCAUACCACCACCUCCGAACAAGAAGAGAGGCUGUUUCCGAUAGACCCCCAACUCAAGACAAAAUACAGUAAAUAAAGUUGUAAUAAAGCAUGAGACAAGAUGAAAGAACAGAAAUAAGGUACCCACAAAGUAGUAUUAUGCACUAACAAACUGCAGACACCCGCCUCUCCCAACCCUCCUAACUAGAAACUCCAUCCUAUGUGCAAAGUCCUACAACCACUAGCAUAGCUACCCUAAAGCACACCUAUCUACUAGCCGCGACUCACCCACACGCACUAAUUUUCUUACCUAAUUCGCGUUCUCCGUACCUUCCGUACCUUCCUAUCUAGGGUAGGUUCAUAUCCUCAGUUAGAUACAGAAGAAAAAAUAUAGGGAGGGCCAAUUUGAAUUCCAGAAGCUUGUCUAGUAAAAACUGACAUCAUCAGAGUGUGAUCCCUUGAACGUUUACAAUAUCUUGGUGUGAAAUCUCAUUUGCUCAACCAAAACACUUACAAGAAAACAGACAAAAUCACCAGAUGGACAUGGCUAUUUGGUAACUAUGAGCUGAGACAAAGCUAUCCGGUACUUAUGAUGUAGCGGGAAGUAUCAGAUACCCCGGUGCAAAUUGAUCCAGACAUCACCUUUGCAAAAAGGUAAUUGGCCAGUGUGUGCGCGCGCUGACUAUUAUUUCAUUAGUACCUACCAACACAUGCAUCAUAUAAGUUUGCGCUGCUACAGUUCAUCUAAAUGGGAAAAAAUCACAUCGCUACAAUUUAGAUAGAUGAAAAGAAAUCAAAUAGCUCGCGCGAGUACUCCAAUAGUCAAUACCAAAACGUUUAAUAUAGCUUUAGGCCAUACCGUAUUCUAUGAACCAUAGCUGAAAUCACGGUAAAUUUGUAAAAGGACCUGAACAUUUAUGUGACAACCACUCAAAAAUUGAUCAAACAUUAUAAAUGUUAUAUAAUAUGAAUGACAAGUGACAUAUAGGUGUAAAAUAUCGAUAAUAGUUAGUAGUCAAAUUGAAUUUGAACACCAAUAGUUACUUGUUCAAUUUGAAUUUGAAUACCUAAAGUAGUUGGCCAAAUCUCUAACUUGAAGUUACUUGUUCAAUUUGAAUUUGAAUUUGAAUACCUAAGAAAGUUGACCAAGUUGUUAACUUGAUGUCACGCUCGACAAUUUUAGGGAGUAAGUUUGGUGGGUGCAAUAGACCUCUCAAUCUGACCUGCCUUCUUUAUGGGAAAUCUCCUACUUCCCAAAACUCCUGUAUGAGGACGUCUGAUCCUCAUGAAAGUGAAGCCUCUUAAUUGGAUUGCUAUGGAGAUCCCAAGCUUCAAGCUCAUCAGAAAUAUUGCUGAGUGUGUAAAAUAGUUUUUUUCUAUUGUGAUAAACAAUUUGAAAGGAUUGUUUAAAGGGUGAAUCGAGGAGAAUCCAGCAAGAAUUUGGAUGACCAUGUCGUAUUCUGCAGAAGGCGAGUUUAGAAAGUGACCACGGCUAUGCAGUCAUCAUCCAUAGGAGAUGACGAGAGAACAACAUCUUUGAUGAUGCGUUCGGAAAACAUUUGGGGGAAAUGGGUCUCCCGCUGGCUGUAUAGUAUGGAAUAUAGCUCUCGACCGAACCAGAAAGGCUGUUCCAGAUGACGCCUUUUAAAAAAGGAAGGGUUUCAACGGAUGGAAGAAUGAUUUUUUUGCUAGACACGGGCGGCUCAACGUUGACGGGGCCUAAAGCGAGACUUCAGUGAGAGGUCUAUCCUUUGGAAAAUCUAGGUCGGUAAUUCUAAUUGAUCUCUUUUCUACUAAUAAAUUUCUCAACAUUGUAUUGAUUUUAGUCCAUUGACUAGGAUCAUAUACAUUUUUGGAAAUGCAACUAUUUAACUCAUUCAAAAGUUCUUUAUUUUCUUGAGAAUCUUCAUCAGAAUCGGAUUUCUCAACAAUUUCUUCUUCUUCAACUUUAUUACCAUAUAACACAACAAAGUUACUGACUUGUUCAUUUAGAGAAUCCUCUUCUAUAUUUUUUGAUUUAUGUUUUUUAUUGUUUGUAACUAUUUAACUUGCUCCUUUUGAGAUGCUAUUAGAUUAUCGAUUUCUCUCCCCCUUUUGAGUUUUGAAUGACCGGAUUCAUAUUUUUUAGUUGACAUAUUUAAAUUUUAAACAAAAUAAUUAAAACUACCUACAAUACAAAUAACAAAAAUAAAAUAAAAUUUAAAAAUAAAACUAAAAUAUGAAAUGAUAAAACCUUAUUAGAAAUUUGAAGAAUAGAUUUCACGAUAUGUUGUGACUGCUUUGAUAUACUUCUUUCGAAACUUGAAAUGUGAGAAAGAGCAACAAGUGAUUUUUUUUAAAUCAAUACAUAACAAUAUUUUUUAACUCUUGUUAUUUCUUCUGCAUGAGUAGCAGCUAUUUCUUCUGUAUACUAAGUAGCAGUAGCAAAAGUACUACUGCCUCCGUUUGGACGAGAAUGGCAUGGGAUCAAUGAAGAGGAGUUCAUCAUUGAGGGACGAAAACCAAUUGAUCUCGCCAUGCAUGAGUUCUUAGGGGAGCAAACACCAACUGAUCUCUCAAAAGAUGACUUCUGUGCGAGGUAGCUCAAGGUUAAGGCUAGUAAAACGUUUGUUUUAGGCCCCUAAAAUUUUGAGGUCCCAAAAAAUUUAAUAUGAAUUUUAUGAUUUUAAUUUCACUUCAAAUAAUAUUAAAGAUUGAAAAAUAUAAAAGGUAUAAAAUUUAAAUCAAUGAAAAAAAAGAAGAACUUUCUAUUGUUUAUUAAAAAUAUUUUAGAACUUUUUAUCAAAUCUUAUUAAUAAAUGAAGUUUUUACAAUAAUAUUCAAGGUAACGCAUUGCAAAUAAUAUGACUAAUAUCUUAUUAAUUAUAAUUAGUCUUUACUUUUAUAAAUAAUAAUAUUAUUAUGUUCUAAGAAUACUACAUUAAAAAAAAUAAUACGUAAGAAUAAAAAAAUAACUCUAAAUUAUUGAUAAUAAUUUUGUACGUAUAUUUAAAGCCUCAUAUUAAAAUUUGGCUUUAGGCCACUUAUUGAGACACCUGCUUCUUUGAAGAGCCAAACCCAACCCUUUCUUUUUAAAAAUUAAAAAAGAAAUUAAAAAUUAAAACUAAAACUGUUGAAAUAGUCUUUUUUUCUUUUCUUUUUUUAAAUGUCAACUAAUUUAGGUUACUUGCAUUGCAAGUGUAUAAUGCAAGUGUAUUUUCUAUGAGUAAAAUAAAAUUACAUAUAAAAACAAUAAGUAAUACAUUAUAUUGCUAUUGAAUAAAAAAAAUUACAUAUAAAAAGAAUAAAUAGUACAUUAUAUUGCUAUUGAAGUUGCAAUAUAUGAUAUUCAUCAUUUAAAAGGCAAAAAUGCAUGUUAUUUAAUUUUAGUAUAUAUAUAUUGCACUUGUAUGUCACGUCAAUUAAUUAGCAUCUCCAUUAUAAAUUAGACAUAUGAAUAAAAAAAAAAAGAAUAUACUGAAACGGAGAACAUGAAGCUUAUAACAAAUUAAUUUCACACAAACUAAAUUUAUAUUUAUGUCAACCAUAAAUCAAAGCACAAAUAAUUAUGACUGCAUUUGUUGAUUUUAUUCUUUUUGCUUUUAUUAUACUGUCAAGAUUUAUCUUGUAUUUUUGGAUCGUGACAUGAACUAUCUUACAAUCACACGACCCAACAUCUCCACAUUCAUUGUCACAACAAUUGAAUGCAAUUCAACUAUUUUUGGAUCGUGACACGAACUAGCAAUUCACCUAUUUUUGGAUCGUGACACGAACUAUCUUACAAUCACACGACCCAACAUCUCCACAUUCAUUGUCACAACAAUUGAAUUCAAUUCAGCAAUUCAAUUGCUUGAUUCGAAAAUACAAUUCAACUCUCUAAAUAUUAAUGAUACUAAAUAAUGUAAGAUGAGAGUAAUUUGUUUUCACACAUUUUUAUGAUGAAUCUUUUUUUAAAAAAUAAAAUUAUCAACAUUUUAUAGAAUUUAAGACAAAAUAAGUAAUUUAAUAUGAAAUAUUAAGCGAAACAAACUAAGAGAAUUUAGGACUAAACAAAUAAUUUAACAUGAAAUAUUAAGCUAAACAAACUGAAAAUAUUUUUGUAAAUAAACUAAGAAUAUUUUUAUAAAUAAACUAUCUACUAAUUUAAAUAUAACUAAUCUCAAUAUAACUUAUUUCCUAACCAAACUAUCCCUAAAAGUCGACAUCAACAUCCGGGAUGAACCAAGUAUGAGACGGAAAAGGUAUCUGGUCGAUAACUCUAUCGUUGGCAUAGUUACAAAUGCCCAUAUCAUGGCCUCCAAAAUUGUACUUCCAUUUAUAUCUGCCAUCAGCAAAGUAAAUAGAGCCGGACCUCAAUUCAGGAAAUUGUGUGGUUGACAGAGCAAAAGCCCGUCUUUCGUCAAGGAAGAUUGCACGAUCUCCAAUAUCUUCCAAUAAUUGAAGCUUGACAAGAUGAUGAUCGUUUAUGAAAUCAAACUUGAAUACAUCAAAACCUAGUGUCUUGUAGGGAAGCGAAUCAGGGCGUAUGUGUGGCACGCAGUGAACAACCUGCCCAAGGCUUGUUAAAACAAAAUGGAUAACAAGAAAAAGCUCUUGGCUUUGGUGGUCAUACACCAAGUAUGACUUAUCCCCCCAAUAAAUCGGUACAAUAGACCUCUUAAACCGACCUACCUUCUUUAGGGGAAAUCUCCUGCUUCCCAGAACCCCUGUCUGAUCCUC
This 19307-nucleotide long non-coding RNA is filed under the name Capsicum annuum. Its description in RNAcentral is "long non-coding RNA (CANN_LNC009203)". The record is from RNAcentral. Lineage: Eukaryota; Viridiplantae; Streptophyta; Magnoliopsida; Solanales; Solanaceae.